AUUGAACGCUGGCGGCAUGCCUUACACAUGCAAGUCGAACGGUAACAGGUCUUCGGAUGCUGACGAGUGGCGAACGGGUGAGUAAUACAUCGGAACGUGCCUAGUAGUGGGGGAUAACUACUCGAAAGAGUGGCUAAUACCGCAUGAGAUCUACGGAUGAAAGCAGGGGAUCGCAAGACCUUGUGCUACUAGAGCGGCCGAUGGCAGAUUGGGUAGUUGGUGGGAUAAAAGCUUACCAAGCCGACGAUCUGUAGCUGGGCUGAGAGGACGAUCAGCCACACUGGGACUGAGACACGGCCCAGACUCCUACGGGAGGCAGCAGUGGGGAAUUUUGGACAAUGGGCGAAAGCCUGAUCCAGCAAUGCCGCGUGCAGGAUGAAGGCCUUCGGGUUGUAAACUGCUUUUGUACGGAACGAAAAGCCCCGGGUUAAUACCCUGGGGUCAUGACGGUACCGUAAGAAUAAGCACCGGCUAACUACGUGCCAGCAGCCGCCGCAG
This 498-nucleotide ribosomal RNA is filed under the name uncultured bacterium. RNAcentral describes it as "partial 16S ribosomal RNA". It matches the Rfam family "Bacterial small subunit ribosomal RNA", at positions 30 to 523 of the family's 1533-position model. The record is from RNAcentral.